UACGUAGGGGGCUAGCGUUGUCCGGAUUUAUUGGGCGUAAAGAGCGUGUAGGCGGCUUAGCAAGUCUGCUGUGAAAACUCGAGGCUCAACCUCGAGAUGUCGGCGGAAACUGCUUGGCUAGAGUCCGGAAGAGGAGAGUGGAAUUCCUGGUGUAGCGGUGAAAUGCGCAGAUAUCAGGAAGAACACCUAUGGCGAAGGCAGCUCUCUGGGACGGUACUGACGCUGAGACGCGAAAGCGUGGGGAGCGAACAGG
This 253-nucleotide ribosomal RNA is filed under the name uncultured prokaryote. Its description in RNAcentral is "partial 16S ribosomal RNA". It matches the Rfam family "Bacterial small subunit ribosomal RNA", at positions 524 to 776 of the family's 1533-position model. The record is from RNAcentral.